Molecule: transfer RNA, 73 nt
Filed under: Hylodes meridionalis (Rio Grande tree toad)
Lineage: Eukaryota; Metazoa; Chordata; Amphibia; Anura; Hylodidae
Description: tRNA-Leu
Rfam family: tRNA
About the family: Transfer RNA (tRNA) molecules are approximately 80 nucleotides in length. Their secondary structure includes four short double-helical elements and three loops (D, anti-codon, and T loops).
Source: RNAcentral
GUUAACGUAGCAAAACCUGGCAUUGCAAAAGACCUAAACUCUUUCCUUAGAGGUCCAAAUCCUCUCGCUAACU